RNAcentral lists this ribosomal RNA (145 nucleotides) under uncultured eukaryote. RNAcentral describes it as "partial 18S ribosomal RNA". It matches the Rfam family "Eukaryotic small subunit ribosomal RNA", at positions 1299 to 1458 of the family's 1831-position model. The record is from RNAcentral.
UGGUGGAGUGAUUUGUCUGGUUAAUUCCGUUAACGAACGAGACCUCGACCUGCUAAAUAGUCGGCGUCGCUCCUUUCGGGGCGGCGCUGCCGACUUCUUAGAGGGACUAUCGGUGUCUAGCCGAUGGAAGUUCGAGGCAAUAACA